CAAGUCGAACGGCAGCGCGGGGCAACCUGGCGGCGAGUGGCGAACGGGUGAGUAAUAUAUCGGAACGUACCCUGGAGUGGGGGAUAACGUAGCGAAAGUUACGCUAAUACCGCAUACGAUCUAAGGAUGAAAGUGGGGGAUCGCAAGACCUCAUGCUCCUGGAGCGGCCGAUAUCUGAUUAGCUAGUUGGUAGGGUAAAAGCCUACCAAGGCAUCGAUCAGUAGCUGGUCUGAGAGGACGACCAGCCACACUGGAACUGAGACACGGUCCAGACUCCUACGGGAGGCAGCAGUGGGGAAUUUUGGACAAUGGGCGCAAGCCUGAUCCAGCAAUGCCGCGUGAGUGAAGAAGGCCUUCGGGUUGUAAAGCUCUUUUGUCAGGGAAGAAACGGUGAGGGCUAAUAUCCCUUGCUAAUGACGGUACCUGAAGAAUAAGCACCGGCUAACUACGUGCCAGCAGCCGCGGUAAUACGUAGGGUGCAAGCGUUAAUCGGAAUUACUGGGCGUAAAGCGUGCGCAGGCGGUUUUGUAAGUUUGUCGUGAAAUCCCCGGGCUCAACCUGGGAAUGGCGAUGAAGACUGCAAGGCUAGAGUUUGGCAGAGGGGGGUAGAAUUCCACGUGUAGCAGUGAAAUGCGUAGAUAUGUGGAGGAACACCGAUGGCGAAGGCAGCCCCCUGGGUCAAAACUGACGCUCAUGCACGAAAGCGUGGGGAGCAAACAGGAUUAGAUACCCUGGUAGUCCACGCCCUAAACGAUGUCUACUAGUUGUCGGGUCUUAAUUGACUUGGUAACGCAGCUAACGCGUGAAGUAGACCGCCUGGGGAGUACGGUCGCAAGAUUAAAACUCAAAGGAAUUGACGGGGACCCGCACAAGCGGUGGAUGAUGUGGAUUAAUUCGAUGCAACGCGAAAACCUUACCUACCC
This 923-nucleotide ribosomal RNA is filed under the name uncultured Duganella sp. RNAcentral's name for it is "bacterial SSU rRNA". It matches the Rfam family "Bacterial small subunit ribosomal RNA", at positions 58 to 980 of the family's 1533-position model. Lineage: Bacteria; Pseudomonadati; Pseudomonadota; Betaproteobacteria; Burkholderiales; Oxalobacteraceae. The record is from RNAcentral.